ACCAGGUGUGGUGGUGAACACCUGUAAUCCCACCUAUUUGGGAGGCUGAGACAGGAGGAUCAAAAUUUCCAGGCCAGCCUCGGCAAUUUAGCAAGACCAUGUCUCUU
Molecule: small RNA, 107 nt
Filed under: Marmota monax (woodchuck)
Lineage: Eukaryota; Metazoa; Chordata; Mammalia; Rodentia; Sciuridae
Source: RNAcentral